UUGUCUAUUGUUUCUUCACACUGAAAUUAGAGUGAACUUAAACGAACCCCCAUUUGUUUUGAUAUAUCCAUGCAAAGACUUUCAAACCCCGAGAAAACCCUGCUGCAAAAUCUUCAAAUAUAAGCUCAGCUCUGCAAAACAUAAAGCAUUCAAAUCUUUGAUUCUCCUAAAAGUCCUCUGAUGCUCCCUAGUGGUGCAGAGUGCAUAGUUCACAAGUCAUCCAGCCGACUGUUUAUCUACAUCAUCAUGUGGCUACGCACUUAUUAUAACAGAGUCAUACCUGAACUUUAAGGGGGGUCAGAAAAAUACUUCAAAUAAACGAGUUCACGAAUCACUCCUGGACACUCCGGGUUAAUUUAAAGAGACAUCAAAUAGAAUAGAUAAAACAGUAAUAUCAAAAUGAUCCGCAGUACUGCUGCAGUAUCACACUGUGACCACAGUCGGCACUGCCAAAGCAACAGUGCGGCAUAUCACUACGCAGCAUAACUAGACCUACUUCAAAGCCUCGUAUAAAAGAGAUGGCACGACUUCGCAAGAACAUCAAAGACCCGAAAGCAUCAUGCAAUAGCCACAUCAGAGAAACGGGAAAAAAUGAGGCGUGUUUCAUAAUUCAAUUGGACCUGAUUUUAUGCACGUAACAUAAAGGUGGCCACAUGGAAUCACACAUGGAAACAUGAAAUACAUUUGCAAUCCAUCUUGGAGGCACAAUCACAAAACACCAGAGCGCAGAGGGUGGAUGUUAUACAUCAUAUAUGAGGACCGAGUUUGAGGUCGCACAGCAUGGAUGAGAAGCUGACAACUUGUGGACUUUCUCUUCGACACAGAAUCAACAGGACCUGCAGGGGUAAAUUCAAUUUGAGGUAUGUGACAGAAAAACUAAAUUCCAUCCGCAAAGUAUUUUCUGUGCAGUGAUUCAAACUGGGGAGAGUUAAAACCUCAGAUUGUUUGUAAGAAAAACACAGUUUCUCUCAGAAAUAAUACAUCCGCUCCCAGUUCCAGCUGGUUUCUUAACCAAACCUCUUUGGAUGUAAUAAAUCAAAAAUAAACUUUUAAAGGUUUGUAUUGAUGUCACAU
Molecule: long non-coding RNA, 1074 nt
Filed under: Sparus aurata (gilthead seabream)
Lineage: Eukaryota; Metazoa; Chordata; Actinopteri; Spariformes; Sparidae
Description: lncRNA (ENSSAUG00010002952.1)
Source: RNAcentral